UACAGAGGGGGCAAGCGCUGUUCGGAAUUACUGGGCGUAAAGGGCGCGUAGGCGGCCUUCUAAGUCGUACGUGAAAUCCCCGGGCUCAACCCGGGAACUGCGUCCGAUACUGGAAGGCUUGAAUCCGGGAGAGGGAUGCGGAAUUCCAGGUGUAGCGGUGAAAUGCGUAGAUAUCUGGAGGAACACCGGUGGCGAAGGCGGCAUCCUGGACCGGCAUUGACGCUGAGGCGCGAAAGCCAGGGGAGCAAACGGG
RNAcentral lists this ribosomal RNA (253 nucleotides) under uncultured bacterium. Its description in RNAcentral is "partial 16S ribosomal RNA". It matches the Rfam family "Bacterial small subunit ribosomal RNA", at positions 524 to 776 of the family's 1533-position model. The record is from RNAcentral.